This 1343-nucleotide ribosomal RNA is filed under the name uncultured bacterium. RNAcentral's name for it is "16S ribosomal RNA". It matches the Rfam family "Bacterial small subunit ribosomal RNA", at positions 28 to 1378 of the family's 1533-position model. The record is from RNAcentral.
GACGAACGCUGGCGGCGUGCUUAACACAUGCAAGUCGAACGGAAAGGCCCUGCUUUUGUGGGGUGCUCGAGUGGCGAACGGGUGAGUAACACGUGAGUAACCUGCCCUUGACUUUGGGAUAACUUCAGGAAACUGGGACUAAUACCGGAUAGGAGCUCCUGCUGCAUGGUGGGGGUUGGAAAGUUUCGGCGGUUGGGGAUGGACUCGCGGCUUAUCAGCUUGUUGGUGGGGUAGUGGCUUACCAAGGCUUUGACGGGUAGCCGGCCUGAGAGGGUGACCGGCCACAUUGGGACUGAGAUACGGCCCAGACUCCUACGGGAGGCAGCAGUGGGGAAUAUUGCACAAUGGGCGGAAGCCUGAUGCAGCAACGCCGCGUGCGGGAUGACGGCCUUCGGGUUGUAAACCGCUUUCGCCUGUGACGAAGCGUGAGUGACGGUAAUGGGUAAAGAAGCACCGGCUAACUACGUGCCAGCAGCCGCGGUGAUACGUAGGGUGCGAGCGUUGUCCGGAUUUAUUGGGCGUAAAGGGCUCGUAGGUGGUUGAUCGCGUCGGAAGUGUAAUCUUGGGGCUUAACCCUGAGCGUGCUUUCGAUACGGGUUGACUUGAGGAAGGUAGGGGAGAAUGGAAUUCCUGGUGGAGCGGUGGAAUGCGCAGAUAUCAGGAGGAACACCAGUGGCGAAGGCGGUUCUCUGGGCCUUUCCUGACGCUGAGGAGCGAAAGCGUGGGGAGCGAACAGGCUUAGAUACCCUGGUAGUCCACGCUGUAAACGGUGGGUACUAGGUGUGGGGUCCAUUCCACGGGUUCCGUGCCGUAGCUAACGCUUUAAGUACCCCGCCUGGGGAGUGCGGCCGCAAGGCUAAAACUCAAAGGAAUUGACGGGGCCCCGCACAAGCGGCGGAGCAUGCGGAUUAAUUCGAUGCAACGCGUAGAACCUUACCUGGGUUUGACAUGGAUCGGGAGUGCUCAGAGAUGGGUGUGCCUCUUUUGGGGUCGGUUCACAGGUGGUGCAUGGCUGUCGUCAGCUCGUGUCGUGAGAUGUUGGGUUAAGUCCCGCAACGAGCGCAACCCUUGUUCACUGUUGCCAGCACGUUAUGGUGGGGACUCAGUGGAGACCGCCGGGGUCAACUCGGAGGAAGGUGGGGAUGACGUCAAGUCAUCAUGCCCCUUAUGUCCAGGGCUUCACGCAUGCUACAAUGGCUGGUACAGAGAGUGGCGAGCCUGUGAGGGUGAGCGAAUCUCGGAAAGCCGGUCUCAGUUCGGAUUGGGGUCUGCAACUCGACCUCAUGAAGUCGGAGUCGCUAGUAAUCGCAGAUCAGCAACGCUGCGGUGAAUACGUUCCCGGG